This 253-nucleotide ribosomal RNA is filed under the name uncultured bacterium. RNAcentral describes it as "partial 16S ribosomal RNA". It matches the Rfam family "Bacterial small subunit ribosomal RNA", at positions 524 to 776 of the family's 1533-position model. The record is from RNAcentral.
UACGGAGGGCGCAAGCGUUGUUCGGAAUUACUGGGCGUAAAGAGCGUGUAGGCGGCUGAUCAAGUCGGGUGUGAAAGCCCGGGGCUUACCCCCGGAAGUGCGCUCGAAACUGGUCAGCUAGAGUAUGGGAGAGGGAAGUGGAAUUCCUGGUGUAGCGGUGAAAUGCGUAGAUAUCAGGAGGACCACCGGCGGCGAAGGCGGCUUCCUGGACCAAUACUGACGCUGAGACGCGAAAGCGUGGGGAGCAAACAGG